This 492-nucleotide ribosomal RNA is filed under the name uncultured bacterium. RNAcentral's name for it is "partial 16S ribosomal RNA". It matches the Rfam family "Bacterial small subunit ribosomal RNA", at positions 29 to 507 of the family's 1533-position model. The record is from RNAcentral.
AGUGAACGCUGGCGGUAGGCCUAACACAUGCAAGUCGAACGGCAGCACAGUAAGAGCUUGCUCUUACGGGUGGCGAGUGGCGGACGGGUGAGGAAUACAUCGGAAUCUACUUUUUCGUGGGUGAUAACGUAGGGAGACUUACGCUAAUACCGCAUACGACCUACGGGUGAAAGCAGGGGAUCUUCGGACCUUGCGCGAUUGAAUGAGCCGAUGUCGGAUUAGCUAGUUGGCGGGGUAAAGGCCCACCAAGGCGACGAUCCGUAGCUGGUCUGAGAGGAUGAUCAGCCACACUGGAACUGAGACACGGCCCAGACUCCUACGGGAGGAAGCAGUGGGGAAUAUUGGACAAUGGGCGAAGGCCUGAUCCAGCCAUACCGCGUGGGUGAAGAAGGCCUUCGGGUGGUAAAGCCCUUUUGUUGGGAAAGAAAAGCAGCAGGUUAAUACCCCGCUGUUCUGACGGUACCCAAAGAAUAAGCACCGGCUAACUUCGUG